GCCUCCCUAGCUCAAUGGUAGAGCAGUUGACUCUUAAUCAAUUGGUUCGGGGUUCGAGUCCCCGGGGGGGUACCA
RNAcentral lists this transfer RNA (75 nucleotides) under Opitutaceae bacterium. RNAcentral describes it as "tRNA-Lys". It matches the Rfam family "tRNA". Rfam says of the family: Transfer RNA (tRNA) molecules are approximately 80 nucleotides in length. Their secondary structure includes four short double-helical elements and three loops (D, anti-codon, and T loops). Lineage: Bacteria; Pseudomonadati; Verrucomicrobiota; Opitutia; Opitutales; Opitutaceae. The record is from RNAcentral. RNAcentral also lists the same sequence under 1 other name.